Molecule: ribosomal RNA, 254 nt
Filed under: uncultured bacterium
Lineage: Bacteria
Description: partial 16S ribosomal RNA
Rfam family: Bacterial small subunit ribosomal RNA
Source: RNAcentral
UACGUAGGGGGCAAGCGUUGUCCGGAUUUAUUGGGCGUAAAGAGCUCGUAGGUGGUUUGGUAAGUCGGAUGUGAAAUCUCCAGGCUCAACCUGGAGGGGUCAUUCGAUACUGCCAUGACUAGAGGUCGGUAGGGGAGUGUGGAAUUCUUGGUGGAGCGGUGAAAUGCGCAGAUAUCAGGAGGAACACCGGUGGCGAAGGCGGGACUCUGGGCCGAUACUGACGCUGAGGAGCGAAAGCGUGGGGAGCGAACAGG